UGACCUCGGAUCAGGUAGGGAUACCCGCUGAACUUAAGCAUAUCAAUAAGCGGAGGAAAAGAAACCAACAGGGAUUGCCUCAGUAACGGCGAGUGAAGCGGCAAAAGCUCAAAUUUGAAAUCUGGCUCCUUCGGGGCCCGAGUUGUAAUUUGCAGAGGAUGCUUCGGGCGUGGCCGCGGUCUAAGUCCCCUGGAACGGGGCGUCGCAGAGGGUGAGAAUCCCGUCUUCGGCCGGCCGGCUUCGCCCGUGUGAAGCUCCUUCGACGAGUCGAGUUGUUUGGGAAUGCAGCUCUAAAUGGGUGGUAAAUUUCAUCUAAAGCUAAAUAUUGGUCGGAGACCGAUAGCGCACAAGUAGAGUGAUCGAAAGAUGAAAAGCA
The sequence is a non-coding RNA, 376 nucleotides long. It matches the Rfam family "Eukaryotic large subunit ribosomal RNA", at positions 1 to 373 of the family's 3401-position model.